Molecule: long non-coding RNA, 257 nt
Filed under: Bos taurus (domestic cattle)
Lineage: Eukaryota; Metazoa; Chordata; Mammalia; Artiodactyla; Bovidae
Description: long non-coding RNA NONBTAT000134
Source: RNAcentral
UUUUUUUUCAUUGAAUUUAGUGCAACAGUCCUAUUUUUCUGUUGAAAUUUUACAGCUUAUUGACUUGACUCUUAAGAAAUUUAUCAUCUAUAGAUGAUAUGUAUGUAUGUAAAUUAAACUGGCAGCUCUGAAACAAAUUUGCUCAUUUAUUUCUGGACUUCAAAGAAAUACCUCCCUGCCUGCAACCACCUCCAACAAAGGAGAUAUAUAUUUAAAUAAUGUGGCUAAAAAAAAAUUUCCUAUAGAGAUCAGUAGCU